RNAcentral lists this ribosomal RNA (1158 nucleotides) under Triticum aestivum (bread wheat). Its description in RNAcentral is "partial small subunit ribosomal RNA". Lineage: Eukaryota; Viridiplantae; Streptophyta; Magnoliopsida; Poales; Poaceae. The record is from RNAcentral.
AUGGCAUCUGCUACUCUCCUCAAGUCCUCCUUCCUCCCCAAGAAGGCCGAAUGGGGCGUCGCGCGCCAGGUCGCCGCCCCGAGGGUGUCCAUGGUCGUCCGCGCCGGCGCCUACGACGAUGAGCUCGUCAAGACCGCGAAAACCAUCGCGUCGCCGGGGCGCGGCAUCCUGGCCAUGGACGAGUCCAACGCCACCUGCGGGAAGCGCCUCGACUCGAUCGGUCUGGAGAACACAGAGGCGAACCGGCAGGCGUUCCGCACGCUGCUGGUCUCCGUCCCUGGCCUCGGCAACCACAUCUCCGGCGCCAUCCUCUUCGAGGAGACGCUCUACCAGUCCACCGUCGACGGCAAGAAGAUCGUCGACAUCCUGGUGGAGCAGGGCGUCGUGCCCGGGAUCAAGGUGGACAAGGGCCUGGUGCCGCUCACCGGCUCCAAUGACGAGUCUUGGUGCCAGGGCCUCGACGGCCUCGCCUCCCGGGAGGCCGCCUACUACCAGCAGGGCGCCCGCUUCGCCAAGUGGCGCACCGUGGUCAGCAUCCCCAACGGCCCCUCCGAGCUGGCCGUCAAGGAGGCCGCCUGGGGCCUCGCCCGCUACGCCGCCAUCUCGCAGGACAACGGUCUGGUGCCCAUCGUGGAGCCGGAGAUCCUGCUGGACGGGGAGCACGGCAUCGAGCGCACCUUCGAGGUGGCGCAGAAGGUGUGGGCCGAGACCUUCUACCAGAUGGCCCAGAACAACGUCAUGUUCGAGGGCAUCCUGCUCAAACCCAGCAUGGUCACCCCCGGCGCCGAGUGCAAGGACAGGGCCACGCCGGAGCAGGUCGCCGACUACACCCUCAAGCUCCUCAGCCGCCGCGUGCCGCCCGCCGUCCCCGGCAUCAUGUUCCUCUCGGGAGGGCAGUCCGAGGUGGAGGCCACGCUCAACCUCAAUGCCAUGAACCAGGGGCCCAACCCGUGGCACGUCUCCUUCUCCUACGCCCGGGCGCUGCAGAACACGUGCCUCAAGACGUGGGGCGGCCGGCCGGAGAACGUCAAGGCGGCGCAGGAGGCGCUGCUGCUGCGUGCCAAGGCCAACUCGCUCGCGCAGCUCGGAAAGUACACCAGCGACGGCGAAGCCGCCGAGGCCAAGGAGGGCAUGUUCGUCAAGAACUACAGCUACUAA